RNAcentral lists this ribosomal RNA (255 nucleotides) under uncultured bacterium. RNAcentral describes it as "partial 16S ribosomal RNA". It matches the Rfam family "Bacterial small subunit ribosomal RNA", at positions 524 to 777 of the family's 1533-position model. The record is from RNAcentral.
UACGGAGGGUGCGAGCGUUGUCCGGAAUCAUUGGGCGUAAAGGGCGCGUAGGUGGCCUGCUAAGCGUGCGGUGAAAGUCGGGGGCUCAACCCCCGAUCGGCCGUGCGAACUGGGAGGCUUGAGCACUGUAGAGGCAGGCGGAAUUCCGGGUGUAGCGGUGGAAUGUGUAGAGAUCCGGAAGAACACCGGUGGCGAAGGCGGUUAGCUGGGCAGUAGCUGGACACUGAGGCGCGACAGCGUGGGGAGCAAACAGGG